This 497-nucleotide ribosomal RNA is filed under the name uncultured bacterium. Its description in RNAcentral is "partial 16S ribosomal RNA". It matches the Rfam family "Bacterial small subunit ribosomal RNA", at positions 28 to 507 of the family's 1533-position model. The record is from RNAcentral.
GAUGAACGCUGGCGGCGUGCCUAAUACAUGCAAGUAGAACGCUGAAGGAAGGAGCUUGCUCUUUCCGGAUGAGUUGCGAACGGGUGAGUAACGCGUAGGUAACCUGCCUGGUAGCGGGGGAUAACUAUUAGAAACGAUAGCUAAUACCGCAUAACAGUAGAUGUUGCAUGAUAUCUACUUAAAAGGUGCAAUUGCACCACUACCAGAUGGACCUGCGUUGUAUUAGCUAGUUGGUGAGGUAACGGCUCACCAAGGCGACGAUACAUAGCCGACCUGAGAGGGUGGUAGGCGACACUGGGACUGGGACAGGGCCCAGACUCCUACGGGAGGGAGCAGUAGGGAAUCGGCGGCAAUGGACGGAAGUCUGACCGAGCAACGCCGCGUGAGUGAAGAAGGUGUUCGGAGCGUAAAGCUCUGUUGUAAGAGAAGAACGAGUGUGGGAGUGGAAAGUUCACACUGUGACGGUAUCUUACCAGAAAGGGACGGCUAACUACGUG